GCGAGAGUGGCGGAAUUGGCAGACGCACCAGACUUAGGAUCUGGCACCGAAUGGUAUAGGAGUUCAAGUCUCCUCUCUCGCACCA
This 85-nucleotide transfer RNA is filed under the name Desulfuromonadales bacterium. RNAcentral's name for it is "tRNA-Leu". It matches the Rfam family "tRNA". Rfam says of the family: Transfer RNA (tRNA) molecules are approximately 80 nucleotides in length. Their secondary structure includes four short double-helical elements and three loops (D, anti-codon, and T loops). The record is from RNAcentral. Lineage: Bacteria; Pseudomonadati; Thermodesulfobacteriota; Desulfuromonadia; Desulfuromonadales.